ACCCCAGCCAAUCGGGAAACGAAGUCUCUGACUCAGACCAAUCGUUGACGCUCAGACCCUUAAAUACAGGCCAAACGGGGCGGAGUCUCGGCCGGAGGGCGGAGCGGAUAGGGGCCGGGGCCCAGGGGAGGCGGGGCCUGGCAAGGGCGGGAAGUUACUAGCACGCUGGCUCCCGCUGGUCUGAGAGUCCGCCUCACCGGUACUGGGAGCGGCGAAGGAGGCAGUACCUGCGGGGGCGAAACCAGGUCUCAGGACUGGACCCUUCCUUGAGGGGCGGGGUCUGCGGCCGAGCGGAAGAAUGGUGAAUCCAAACCGCGGUAGAAUCUGAUCGUCAGAUGGUCCUGGGCGAAGUGCCGCCGGUGCCGAGGUUGAGAAUAAAUAAACUUAAAAAAAAUUAAAAGCAGUCUUCUGGAGGAGCAGUUCCAGCAGGGCAAGCUUCUUGCAUGCUUGCUUCAAGACCAGGCCAGUGUGGCCAAGCAGAUGGCUAUGUGCUGGAGGGCAAGGAGCUAGAGUUCUAUCUGAGGAAAAUCAAAGCCUGGAAAGUCAUAUGAGGAUUGAAGGAGAUCCUGCCAGGAAAGCCCCCAGGCUGCCCUUCUGCUUCUGCUGGUGGCAUGAAGGUUCCCUCCCGGGGCCUGAGCUUUAGAGGGCCCGGGUUUGGGGUGAAGAAUCUGGGAGCCCGAGGCCUGGAGGUCAGCUCCCCGCCCCCAACCCUCCAGGUACAGGAAUUCUCUGCUCAGUUGGUGCGGAGUCCAUUAGAAGGGCCUGCAGGGCCUGCGUAGCCCUCUCCCCCAGUCUGCUCUUCAGAGGGAAGGCCAUCCCUGUAGAUCUGAAGGGCGGCCAAGGUGUGGGUCGGUAGGUUGUGGACAGAGUGUGAACAUUUGGCUUGGGGCGUCCACACAUGUGCAAGUGGGUCCCUUACUGUCAGAACAGAGAGGCGUGGGUAGGAAUAGAAGAGGGGGGAUCAAGAGCUCCAUUUGUACUGUUGCCCUGAACCUCUCCAAUGUGAGAGGUGGGCCUGCUUCUUUUCUUCUUUCUCUCUCUUUUUAAAAUUUUUUUAUUUUUUGAGAGAGAGAGAAAGAGUGAGCUUGUGAGCAGGGGAGAGGGGCAGAGAGAGAGAGAGAGAGAGAGAGAGAGAGAGAGAAUCCUAAGAAAGCUCCACACUUAGCUUGCAGCCCACCACGGGGCUCGAUUCCAUGACCCUGGGAUCAUGACCUUGUAAGGGUUAAAUUGUAGUAUAGGGCUUAAUGCUUAGCUUGAAAAAUAACAGCUUUGUGUUGACACUGAAGGUUAAGAGAUAACAGCCUUGCUUUACUCUUGUAAAUUAUGCCUUAUACUCUUGUAAAUUAGGCUUCACCAAUUAAGGAAACAAAAGUUCAAAGAAAAGAGCAUCAGAGGCAGGGUCAAGGAGAUCCACUGGUUGCAACUUAGAGGCAGAAAGUCUAAAAUAAACACCUCAUUAGGCAACUGUUUCUAACUCAUCUGGAAACUGUUUCUAACUCAUCUGGAAACUGUUUCUUUGUUCUG
Neofelis nebulosa (Clouded leopard) is the source of this 1524-nucleotide long non-coding RNA. RefSeq lists it as uncharacterized. The transcript is spliced from 3 exons. Lineage: Eukaryota; Metazoa; Chordata; Mammalia; Carnivora; Felidae. The record is from RefSeq and is a predicted model, not a curated record.